Molecule: ribosomal RNA, 441 nt
Filed under: uncultured bacterium
Lineage: Bacteria
Description: partial 16S ribosomal RNA
Rfam family: Bacterial small subunit ribosomal RNA
Source: RNAcentral
GAUGAACGCUGGCGGCGUGCCUAAUACAUGCAAGUCGAACGGGGAGUAGCAAUACUCUUAGUGGCGAACGGGUGAGUAACGCGUUGGUACCUGCCCCGAAGCGGGGGAUAACGGACCGAAAGGUCCGCUAAUACCCCAUGUGCUCGGUAACGAGUAAAGGUGAAAACCACUUUGGGAGGGGCCUGCGUCCCAUCAGCUAGUUGGUAAGGUAACGGCUUACCAAGGCGAUGACGGGUAGGGGACCUGAGAGGGUGGCCCCCCACAAUGGAACUGAAACACGGUCCAUACCCCUACGGGUGGCAGCAGUAGGGAAUAUUGGUAAUGGGCGCAAGCCUGAACCAGCAACGCCGCGUGUGCGAUGACGGCCUUCGGGUUGUAAAGCACUUUUGACUGGGACGAGGAAGGACGGUACCGGUCGAAUCAGCCUCGGCUAACUACGUG